CGGCACGGGUGCGUAACGCGUAUGCAACCUACCAUCAACAGGGGGAUAACACUGAGAAAUUGGUACUAAUACCCCAUAAUAUCUCAUGCGGCAUCGCAUGGGGUUGAAAACUCCGGUGGUUGAUGAUGGGCAUGCGUUGUAUUAGCUGGUUGGUGAGGUAACGGCUCACCAAGGCGACGAUACAUAGGGGGACUGAGAGGUCAACCCCCCACAUUGGUACUGAGACACGGACCAAACUCCUACGGAAGGCAGCAG
RNAcentral lists this ribosomal RNA (255 nucleotides) under uncultured bacterium. Its description in RNAcentral is "partial 16S ribosomal RNA". It matches the Rfam family "Bacterial small subunit ribosomal RNA", at positions 98 to 354 of the family's 1533-position model. The record is from RNAcentral.